This is a non-coding RNA of Ictidomys tridecemlineatus (thirteen-lined ground squirrel), 72 nucleotides long. The record is from Rfam. Lineage: Eukaryota; Metazoa; Chordata; Mammalia; Rodentia; Sciuridae.
GGGGUUGUGGCUCAAUGGUAGGGCACAUGCCUCACAUGCCUGAGGCACUGGGUUCGAUCCUCAGCAUCACAU